Molecule: ribosomal RNA, 346 nt
Filed under: uncultured bacterium
Lineage: Bacteria
Description: bacterial SSU rRNA
Rfam family: Bacterial small subunit ribosomal RNA
Source: RNAcentral
ACACACUACUCAGUUAGUUGACUCGUGCCAGGAUGAACGCUAGCGAUAGGCUUAACACAUGCAAGUCGAGGGGUAACAUGGGAGUAGCUUGCUACUUCUGAUGACGACCGGCGGAUGGGUGAGUAACGCGUAUGCAACUUGCCUCUUAGUGGGGAAUAACCCGGAGAAAUCCGGACUAAUACCGCAUACACUUAGUUAUCCGCAUGGAUGAUUAAGGAAAGAUUUAUUGCUAAGAGAUAGGCAUGCGUUCCAUUAGUUGGUUGGUGAGGUAACGGCUCACCAAGGCAUCGAUGGAUAGGGGAGCUGAGAGGCUUAUCCCCCACAUUGGGACUGAGACACGGCCCAA